RNAcentral lists this ribosomal RNA (395 nucleotides) under uncultured bacterium. RNAcentral's name for it is "partial 16S ribosomal RNA". It matches the Rfam family "Bacterial small subunit ribosomal RNA", at positions 523 to 918 of the family's 1533-position model. The record is from RNAcentral.
AUACGGAGGAUGCGAGCGUUAUCCGGAUUCAUUGGGUAUAAAGGGUGCGUAGGCGGCCCCCCAAGUCAGCGGUGAAAUGUCCGGGCCCAACCCGGAGGGUGCCGUUGAUACUGCGGGGCUGGAGUACGGACGCCGGCGGAGGAAUGAGUGGUGUAGCGGUGAAAUGCAUAGAUAUCACUCAGAACACCGAUUGCGAAGGCACCCGCCGAGGCCGUUACUGACGCUGAGGCACGAAAGCGUGGGGAUAGAACAGGAUUAGAUACCCUGGUAUUCCACGCCGUAAACGAUGAUGACUAACCGCCGGGCGGAAUGACGUCCGGCAGCCAAGCGAAAGCGAUAAGUCAUCCACCUGGGGAGUACGGCCGCAAGGCUGAAACUCAAAGGAAUUGGCGGGG